Molecule: ribosomal RNA, 888 nt
Filed under: uncultured bacterium
Lineage: Bacteria
Description: bacterial SSU rRNA
Rfam family: Bacterial small subunit ribosomal RNA
Source: RNAcentral
GUGUCAGCAGCCGCGGUAAUACGGAGGGUCCAAGCGUUAUCCGGAUUUAUUGGGUUUAAAGGGUGUGUAGGCGGAAAAAUCAGUCAGUGGUGAAAUCCUGCAGCUUAACUGCAGAACUGCCUUUGAUACUGUUUUUCUUGAAUAUAGUUGAAGUGGGCGGAAUGUGUCAUGUAGCGGUGAAAUGCAUAGAUAUGACACAGAACACCGAUUGCGAAGGCAGCUCACUAAGCUAUUAUUGACGCUGAGGCACGAAAGCGUGGGUAGCGAACAGGAUUAGAUACCCUGGUAGUCCACGCCGUAAACGAUGAUUACUCGAUGUUGGCGAUAUACUGUCAGCGUCCAAGCGAAAGUGUUAAGUAAUCCACCUGAGGAGUACGGUCGCAAGAUUGAAACUCAAAGGAAUUGACGGGGGCCCGCACAAGCGGAGGAACAUGUGGUUUAAUUCGAUGAUACGCGAGGAACCUUACCUGGGCUUAAAUGUAAGAUGACAGGCUGGGAAACCAGUCCUCCUUCGGGCAACUUACAAGGUGCUGCAUGGCUGUCGUCAGCUCGUGCCGUGAGGUGUCGGGUUAAGUCCCAUAACGAGCGCAACCCCUAUCUCUAGUUGCCAGCACAUAAUGGUGGGGACUCUAGAGAAACUGCCCGCGCAAGCGGUGAGGAAGGUGGGGAUGACGUCAAGUCAGCACGGCCCUUACGUCCAGGGCUACACACGUGUUACAAUGGCCGGUACAGAGGGCAGCUACCUGGUGACAGGAUGCAAAUCUCUAAAGCCGGUCUCAGUUCGGAUCGAAGUCUGCAACUCGACUUCGUGAAGUUGGAUUCGCUAGUAAUCGCGCAUCAGCCUCGGCGCGGUGAAUACGUUCCCGGGCCUUGCACACACCGCCCGUC